Molecule: ribosomal RNA, 253 nt
Filed under: uncultured prokaryote
Description: partial 16S ribosomal RNA
Rfam family: Bacterial small subunit ribosomal RNA
Source: RNAcentral
CACGUAAGGGGCAAGCGUUGUUCGGAUUUAUUGGGCGUAAAGGGCGCGUAGGCGGUUUUGCAAGCCUGAUGUGAAAGCCUGGGGCUCAACCCCGGAACUGCAUUGGGAACUGCGAGACUUGAAUCAUGGAAGGGAAACUAGAAUUCCAGGUGUAGGGGUGAAAUCUGUAGAUAUCUGGAAGAAUACCGGUGGCGAAGGCGAGUUUCUGGCCAAUGAUUGACGCUGAGGCGCGAAAGUGCGGGGAGCAAACAGG